This 1218-nucleotide ribosomal RNA is filed under the name Triticum aestivum (bread wheat). RNAcentral describes it as "partial small subunit ribosomal RNA". Lineage: Eukaryota; Viridiplantae; Streptophyta; Magnoliopsida; Poales; Poaceae. The record is from RNAcentral.
AUGGAUGAUUUCGUUGCAUGGCGUUUCACAAAGAAUAACAUAUUCACGGUUAGGUCGGCAUAUCACGCUGAGUGGGAUCAUCAAUUUGGACGCUGGUUCGAGCGAUCGGCAGGCCAACCAUCACAACAAUACCCAGUCUGGAGUAAACUGUGGGAAUCUACGAUGCCGGGUAAAGUUAAGAUACAUGCAUGGAAGGUGUUGCACGGGUUUUUGCCAUGCUUUGGGGUUCUCGCGAAUCGCCAUAUAGUUAUGCCAACGAACUGCCCAAUGUGUGCUGGAGGCUGUGAGGACAUAAAGCACGCCUUGUUUACUUGCCCAAGAGCAGCCGAGAUCUGGAGAUGCUUAAAGUUAGACGGGUUUGUAGAGGAGGCAUGCGAAGUGGAUAGAGCGGGAUCGUCGGUACUGGAUUAUAUGUUAUGUGCACCACAGAGAGGAAGCUUGCUUCCGGAUGUCAGUGCGCAGACCCUGCUCCUUGUGGGUUUGUGGUAUGUGUGGUGGGAAAGGAGGCAAAAGGUCCAUGGAGAAGAUGUUCAAAUGCCAGCCCGAUCAACGCUGUCAAUCUCGGCUCUAACGGCUAACUAUACGAACGCUAGGAAGAAGGAGAUGGGCGCACAGAAGGGCGGAUGGACUAAGCCAAGGGAGGGAUUUGUGAAACUCAACGUGGACGCAUCAUUUUAUGCGCAAAACUUGAAUGGAGCAGUCGGGGCAGUGCUCAGGGAUGAUAAAGGGGGGUUCCUAGCGGCCUCCAACGACAAGCUGGAGCAUGUAACCGAUGCAGCAGCUGCGGAAGCAUAUGCGUUGAGGCAUGGCCUCCUAUUAGCGCAACAGGUUGGAAUAAACAAGCUGAUAGUGGAGGCGGAUUGUCUGGAGGUGAUCGAUAUAAUGAACUCGGGUGGCUUCACUACAACAGGAGCGGCGGCAAUUUAUGCAGAUUGUAUGGCUUUGUCAGUAGGUUAUAUUUCAGUUUCUUUCAUUCACUGUCCUAGAGAGGCAAAUUGUGUUUCUCAUGAACUAGCUAGGCUGGCGGCUCUUAAUCCACCCGGUUUGUGGGUUGAGGAACCACCGGAAUCCAUUGUACGGUGGCUGGUAGAUGAUGUAAUAGGGCCGGCCUCUUGGACAGAGUCUGUAGCAGCAACGGCGCAUCAGGCAAAGCAAGCAACAACGGCUUCAGGUAGAGCAAGCAACAGCAAAGUAACGCAACAACAAGCAAGGCAGUAG